RNAcentral lists this ribosomal RNA (474 nucleotides) under Fusarium sp. XAE_009. RNAcentral describes it as "eukaryotic LSU rRNA". The stretch from base 124 to 277 matches the Rfam family "5.8S ribosomal RNA". The record is from RNAcentral. Lineage: Eukaryota; Fungi; Ascomycota; Sordariomycetes; Hypocreales; Nectriaceae.
UGUGACAUACCACUUGUUGCCUCGGCGGAUCAGCCCGCUCCCGGUAAAACGGGACGGCCCGCCAGAGGACCCCUAAACUCUGUUUCUAUAUGUAACUUCUGAGUAAAACCAUAAAUAAAUCAAAACUUUCAACAACGGAUCUCUUGGUUCUGGCAUCGAUGAAGAACGCAGCAAAAUGCGAUAAGUAAUGUGAAUUGCAGAAUUCAGUGAAUCAUCGAAUCUUUGAACGCACAUUGCGCCCGCCAGUAUUCUGGCGGGCAUGCCUGUUCGAGCGUCAUUUCAACCCUCAAGCACAGCUUGGUGUUGGGACUCGCGUUAAUUCGCGUUCCUCAAAUUGAUUGGCGGUCACGUCGAGCUUCCAUAGCGUAGUAGUAAAACCCUCGUUACUGGUAAUCGUCGCGGCCACGCCGUUAAACCCCAACUUCUGAAUGUUGACCUCGGAUCAGGUAGGAAUACCCGCUGAACUUAAGCAUA